Molecule: unclassified non-coding RNA, 335 nt
Filed under: soil metagenome
Description: partial contains 5.8S ribosomal RNA, internal transcribed spacer 2, and large subunit ribosomal RNA
Rfam family: 5.8S ribosomal RNA (bases 1-120)
Source: RNAcentral
GAUGAAGAACGCAGCGAAAUGCGAUAAGUAAUGUGAAUUGCAGAAUUCAGUGAAUCAUCGAAUCUUUGAACGCACAUUGCGCCCGCCAGUAUUCUGGCGUGCAUGCCUGUUCGAGCGUCAUUUCAACCAUCAAGCCCCCGGCUUGUGUUGGGGACCUGCGGCUGCCGCAGGCCCUGAAAACCAGUGGCGGGCUCGCUAGUCACUCCGAGCGUAGUAAUACAUCUCGCUCAGGGCGUGCUGCGGGUUCCGGCCGUUAAAAAGCCUUAUUUACCCAAGGUUGACCUCGGAUCAGGUAGGAAGACCCGCUGAACUUAAGCAUAUCAAUAAGCGGAGGA